This 433-nucleotide ribosomal RNA is filed under the name uncultured bacterium. RNAcentral's name for it is "partial 16S ribosomal RNA". It matches the Rfam family "Bacterial small subunit ribosomal RNA", at positions 29 to 507 of the family's 1533-position model. The record is from RNAcentral.
AACGAACGUUGGCGGCAUGCCUAACACAUGCAAGUCGAACGAGACCUUCGGGUCUAGUGGCGCACGGGUGCGUAACGCGGGGGAACCUGCCCUUAGGUUCGGAAUAACUCCCCGAAAGGGGUGCUAAUACCGGAUAAUGUCUUCGGACCAAAGAUUUAUCGCCUUAGGAUGGGCCCGCGUUGGAUUAGCUAGUUGGUAGGGUAAAAGCCUACCAAGGCGACGAUCCAUAGCUGGUCUGAGAGGAUGAUCAGCCACACUGGGACUGAGACACGGCCCAGACUCCUACGGGAGGCAGCAGUGGGGAAUAUUGGACAAUGGGCUAAAGCCUGAUCCAGCAAUGCCGCGUGAGUGAUGAAGGCCUUAGGGUUGUAAAGCUCUUUUACCCGGGAUGAUGAUGACAGUACCGGGAGAAUAAGCUCCGGCUAACUCCGUG